Molecule: ribosomal RNA, 431 nt
Filed under: uncultured bacterium
Lineage: Bacteria
Description: bacterial SSU rRNA
Rfam family: Bacterial small subunit ribosomal RNA
Source: RNAcentral
GUGGGGAAUUUUGGACAAUGGGCGAAAGCCUGAUCCAGCAAUGCCGCGUGCAGGAUGAAGGCCCUCGGGUUGUAAACUGCUUUUGUACGGAACGAAAAGCCUGGGGCUAAUAUCCCCGGGUCAUGACGGUACCGUAAGAAUAAGCACCGGCUAACUACGUGCCAGCAGCCGCGGUAAUACGUAGGGUGCAAGCGUUAAUCGGAAUUACUGGGCGUAAAGCGUGCGCAGGCGGUUUUGUAAGACAGUGGUGAAAUCCCCGGGCUCAACCUGGGAACUGCCAUUGUGACUGCAAAGCUAGAGUGCGGCAGAGGGGGAUGGAAUUCCGCGUGUAGCAGUGAAAUGCGUAGAUAUGCGGAGGAACACCGAUGGCGAAGGCAAUCCCCUGGGCCUGCACUGACGCUCAUGCACGAAAGCGUGGGGAGCAAACAGGA